AAAAUGACAUAAAAAUGGACGAAAUGAGUAUUAAAGUAUCAUGUAUUUCAGUUCUUAAUCUUUAAUUUUAAACAUUUUAGUCCAUCUUUUAGUUGCAAUAACAUUUUGUCUCUGUUUCAUUUAUUUUUUCAAGAUUAAGUUUGAAAACUCAAUGACUAAAAAGUUAUUUUACUUAAAAUAUGAAGGACUAAAAAGUACUAAAAGGCCUAGUGUAUAUUUUUUCAAAAGUUAAGGACUAGACUAUUUAAUCCAUGCAAGUGUGAUUAUUGCUUAAUGUCAGGAGCUUUUUGUAGUUUACCCCAAACAAAAAUUCCCACCCCUCUUUAAGAUCCUGGCUCUACUACUGGUUUAUCCAUUUCAUUAAAUCUUCAGAAAUAGUUUGCAUAAACAAGCUGGUUUGGGAAUCAGAUCAGUGUUUG
This 419-nucleotide unclassified non-coding RNA is filed under the name Hevea brasiliensis (rubber tree). The record is from RNAcentral. Lineage: Eukaryota; Viridiplantae; Streptophyta; Magnoliopsida; Malpighiales; Euphorbiaceae.